GGUGAGUAAAGCAUCGGAACGUGCCCAGUAGUGGGGGAUAGCCCGGCGAAAGCCGGAUUAAUACCGCAUACGACCUACGGGUGAAAGGGGGGGAUCGCAAGACCUCUCGCUAUUGGAGCGGCCGAUGUCAGAUUAGGUAGUUGGUGGGGUAAAGGCCUACCAAGCCGACGAUCUGUAGCUGGUCUGAGAGGACAACCAGCCACACUGGGACUGGGACACGGCCCAGACUCCUACGGGAGGCAGCAGUGGGGAAUUUUGGACAAUGGGCGAAAGCCUGAUCCAGCCAUGCCGCGUGCGGGAAGAAGGCCUUCGGGUUGUAAACCGCUUUUGUCAGGGAAGAAAUCUUCUGGGUUAAUACCUCGGGAGGAUGACGGUACCUGAAGAAUAAGCACCGGCUAACUACGUGCCAGCAGCCGCGGUAAUACGUAGGGUGCAAGCGUUAAUCGGAAUUACUGGGCGUAAAGCGUGCGCAGGCGGUUAUGUAAGACAGGUGUGAAAUCCCCGGGCUUAACCUGGGAACUGCACUUGUGACUGCAUAGCUUGAGUGCGGCAGAGGGGGAUGGAAUUCCGCGUGUAGCAGUGAAAUGCGUAGAUAUGCGGAGGAACACCGAUGGCGAAGGCAAUCCCCUGGGCCUGCACUGACGCUCAUGCACGAAAGCGUGGGGAGCAAACAGGAUUAGAUACCCUGGUAGUCCACGCCCUAAACGAUGUCAACUG
Molecule: ribosomal RNA, 717 nt
Filed under: uncultured beta proteobacterium
Lineage: Bacteria; Pseudomonadati; Pseudomonadota; Betaproteobacteria
Description: bacterial SSU rRNA
Rfam family: Bacterial small subunit ribosomal RNA
Source: RNAcentral